UUAUCCUACGGGGGGCAGCAGUGGGGGAUAUUGCACAAUGGGGGAAACCCUGAUGCAGCGACGCCGCGUGAGUGAAGAAGUAUUUCGGUACGUAAAGCUCUAUCAGCAGGGAAGAAUAAUGACGGUACCUGACUAAGAAGCCCCGGCUAACUACGUGCCAGCAGCCGCGGUAAUACGUAGGGGGCAAGCGUUAUCCGGAUUUACUGGGUGUAAAGGGAGCGUAGACGGCAUAGCACGUCUGAAGUGAAAGCCCGUGGCUCAACCGCGGAACUGCUUUGGAAACUGUUAAGCUG
RNAcentral lists this ribosomal RNA (293 nucleotides) under uncultured bacterium. RNAcentral's name for it is "partial 16S ribosomal RNA". It matches the Rfam family "Bacterial small subunit ribosomal RNA", at positions 334 to 643 of the family's 1533-position model. The record is from RNAcentral.